CGAAAACCACUUCCUGUAAAAAAUUAAUCCCACGGAGGAAGUUUGUGAAUGACCAAUGCUCCCUAUGUUACAUAGUCUUACAUUACAUUACAUCCCCAUAUAGUCUGGAGUAAACUAGAUUUAACCUAAUAAUGUUUGGUGUAUUGAAUGUGUUUUUUUAGUUCUAAUAUAAUAUGCCAUUUACCAGACAGAUUGACAGUCAUGAGUGCAUAUUUUUUUUGUUAAAUGCAUUUGUACGUUCAAACCGUAAUCUUAGACUAUCACAUUGUUUCACGUUGUGACGUUUUAACUUCGUCUAUCUUUGUGUAGCAGAUGCCGGCAUGCUUAACCUUACGUAAAAAAAAAAGUCAAUCUACUCCAUUGCAGUUGUUUGCAAUGUUGUCUUUCUCAGUUUUGUCUCUUCUCCCAGUCAUGUGUUCUGGUCCCAGGUGAGGUAAGCAUGGCAGACAUCAACACAGUGGUGUACCGCGCCAGCGCCUGUCACUGUGUCGUCUGAGCUGCUUAACAUGGAGUCUCCAGUCCUGAAAUAAACCUUUAACAAGUGGAGUGAACUAAUGCAGCUAAGUCCCUGACACAGCCGCCUGUCACAGUAAUCCUGUGUGGCACAGCACCAGGGCCUGUCACAGCCACAUCACCCAAUCAGCAGGGGUGUUGCAAAUGGCAACCUAUUCCCUAUAUAGUGCACUACUAUAAACCAAGACCUAAUGGCAACCUAUUCCCUAUACAGUGCACUACUAUGAACCAAAGACCUAAUGGCAACCUAUUCCCUAUAUAGUGCACUACUAUAAACCAAGACCUAAUAGCCACCUAUUCCCUAUAUAGUGCACUACUAUAAACCAAUAGCUAAUAGCCACCUAUUCUCUAUAUAUAGUGCACUACUAUAAACCAAGACCUAAUAGCCACCUAUUCCCUAUAUAGUGCACUACUAUAAACCAAGACCUAAUGGCCACCUAUUCCCUAUAUAGUGCACUACAACAGUGGGGAAUAGAGUCUCAUUUGAGAGGCAAACUGCAAAUAGACAACAGCCUUCCUCCGGGGGAGGAGUCGGCUUUCUCCUAACUCACCUGGAUGUUACAGUUUGUCAAGUUCAGAGAAUCAUGUUGACCAAUAAAAAGGGACCUGGAUGUUAUAGUUGGUCAGGUUCAGAGAACCCUGUUGACCAAUAAAAAGGGACCUGGAUGUUAUAGUUGGUCAGGUUCAGAGAACCCUGUUGACCAAUAAAAAGGGACCUGGAUGUUAUAGUUGGUCAGGUUCAGAGAAUCCUGUUGACCAAUAAAAAGGGACCUGGAUUUUACAGUACUCUAAAAAAGUGCUUAAUACACACCAUCAUUACAGUAUGUUUUAGGAGGGUUGACAUAAUGAUGUAACCAAACCAUUUAUUUUUUUAUACAAAUUGGGCAACGUCUUGUAUUUUCCUGAAAUGUAUACAAAAUACAGUUCUGAGAUCAUUUUUAGUGAGAGCAGAAUUGGUGGAAAUGACAAAAUGCCAACUAGUUCUGCAUAAAUCAACAAAAGGUUUAAUUUUUAGCUAGAUGUGGAGUUUUUUUUUUUAUGUAGCGAUAAAUUAGAUCAAUCCUGAACUGUGAGAUGUAGUGGGGAGUUGUAAUUUCCAACAGGCCAACAUUGUACAUAGUUUACCUCAGAAAACUUGGUAAUUAACUACAAUGACUAUAAUCCAUUGCGCGCCCGCUGAGAGAAGAGAGAAGCACCGAUCGAGGGAUAGAAAGUUUAGCGAGCCUGAAAAUACAUGAUUUUAGAUAUUCAGCAGUCAUAAAAGUAUGCCAUAUUUACUUUGAAGAAAUACUAAAAUAGUGAUUUUGUCAAACAGCAUAGGCAGUAACUCUAGUAACUCUAUAGAGAUGAGAUGUUGACUUGGAAUUAAAUAAAUAAGUCAUCAAAUAAAACACAUUUGUUGAAAAAAAGGCUUGGUUCCUUUAAGAGGUUUAAAGUAAUGUGACUGCUGUUGAUUGUUUUAUUCUGUGUUACAGAAUUCAACCCACAUAAAUGGGGUUGAAAUUGAAAUACGUGAUUCUUUUUUAAUAAUCGAACCAAAACUGAACCGACCUCAAAAAGGACUAAUCGCUCAGUACUAGAUACAGCAUAAUCUAUUUAACAGAUGAGAUGGUACGCCAAACUAAACAAUGUGAAGGAAGUGUCCAAAAUGGCACUCUAUAUUAUACUCUAAAUGGCCCCCUAUUCCCUAUGUAGAGCACUACUUUUGACCAGCGCCCAAUGGUAGGGAAUAGGGGGCCAUUUGGGAUGCGUAUGAAGUCUGAGGGGUUCAUGAACUGGCAUUAACAUACUUCGAAGAACUCAAACACAAUUGGUAACUGCCUGGUACAGUACACAAUGCUAACUACAGAUGUAGGAUCUUAAUUUGAUCACUCGGAUGUUGCAGGAUAUUUCCUGCACAACAGGAAAUGCAAAACGUGUAGUGUAUUUCAAGGUUUAAAAAGGUGUGUCAUAAGGUGAAUGCACCAAUUUGUAAGUCGCUCUGGAUAAGAGCGUCUGCUAAAUGACUUAAAUGUAAUAUAAUGUGUGUAAAGUUUGUCAUUUCCAUUUAACAGACUUGAACUAUUAAAAAUGUAUCAACACCUUCAAAAA
This is a long non-coding RNA of Oncorhynchus gorbuscha (pink salmon), 2604 nucleotides long. RefSeq lists it as uncharacterized. The record is from RefSeq and is a predicted model, not a curated record. NCBI's taxonomy places the organism in Eukaryota, Metazoa, Chordata, Actinopteri, Salmoniformes, Salmonidae. The transcript has 2 exons.